UACGGAGGAUUCGAGCGUUAUCCGGAUUUAUUGGGUUUAAAGGGAGCGUAGGCGGUUUAUUAAGUCUGGUGUAAAAGGCAGUGGCUCAACCAUUGUAUGCAUUGGAAACUGGUAGACUUGAGUGCAGGAGAGGAGAGUGGAAUUCCAUGUGUAGCGGUGAAAUGCGUAGAUAUAUGGAGGAACACCGGUGGCGAAAGCGGCUCUCUGGCCUGUAACUGACACUGAGGCUCGAAAGCGUGGGGAGCAAACAGG
This 252-nucleotide ribosomal RNA is filed under the name uncultured bacterium. RNAcentral describes it as "partial 16S ribosomal RNA". It matches the Rfam family "Bacterial small subunit ribosomal RNA", at positions 524 to 776 of the family's 1533-position model. The record is from RNAcentral.